AUAAGUUGUUGACUUACAAGAUGUUCGUAUAAACUCCGUAUUUGUUUCUCCAGCUGAUGGCCUUGCGGCGGAAACUGAAUUCCAAUUAUUAGAAGAAGUUAUCAACGCAAUUGAAAUAAGAAAAUAUGUGAGAAAAUAACCACCUUCCAUCUCUCUUAAAUUAAUUACUCUAACUUUUUUUCUUUUUUUGUGUGUGUAUCAAUAACUAAAGAUAAUUAAUUGAAUGAUGAUGAAUUUAGGGAUGGAGGAUUCUGAAUUUAUAGAAAAAAUUUGUGGAAUGUACAGUACUGCUAAUUUAAAAAACGGUUA
RNAcentral lists this long non-coding RNA (309 nucleotides) under Solanum tuberosum (potato). Its description in RNAcentral is "long non-coding RNA (STUB_LNC000997)". Lineage: Eukaryota; Viridiplantae; Streptophyta; Magnoliopsida; Solanales; Solanaceae. The record is from RNAcentral.